Long non-coding RNA from Felis catus (domestic cat), 2553 nucleotides. RefSeq lists it as uncharacterized. The record is from RefSeq and is a predicted model, not a curated record. The transcript is spliced from 4 exons. NCBI's taxonomy places the organism in Eukaryota, Metazoa, Chordata, Mammalia, Carnivora, Felidae.
AAAUCAAGAGUUGGUUGCUCAACCGACUGAGCCACCCAGGUGCCCCUCCGAGAGAGUUUCUUAACCUACCUUCUAACCCAUCAAUUUCUCAACUGCGUUAGUUCUACUAUUAAUCCUUCUAUUAUGUUCUUUACUUCAGUCACUGUGGUUUUCAUGCCUAGUAUUUCUAGUUGGUCCUUCUUUUUCAAGUUUCUUGUUCUUAUGUGAUAUUGCUAGUCAAUGAUGUCAUCUUGCUUGAUAUGGUUCUUAACCUAUUUUGUCUCAGUCCAUCCCCCCGCCCCCCCAGUCUGUUUCCAAUGGAACCUGUAAUUCCCAUUUGUGGAUUUCUUUUGAAGGAGCUGAGGUCCUCAGAAUUCUCCUUAUUUUGGACUAAGAGCACAUAUUCCCACGGGGCACAGAGUCUUGGGUCCUGUGACACACACGGAGAGAGGCCAGCGUGCCUGCUGGGUGCCAGUCCCCUGAGCUCAGGACCCAGAAGCCGUGGAUGAGCCUCAGGAAUGCAGCUACAGCUCAGCACUGCCCUUCCCCCCGGGAGACUGUUCUGGGCUGCAUUUGGUGCUCAGUCCCCAGGAAGAAGCAGAACCCAGAGGGGGUUGGAGGGGUGGUGGGGCCACGGAGGUGGUCUUUCUGUCCUCCUCGGCUCCUCACCUGCAGAGUUUCCGCACGACCCAUUUAUCCCGAGGACAUCUGCACCAGCUGUCAUAGGUGGGCCGGGGGCGGGCACCCAUUGCCCCAGACAGAAUUCUAACCAUUCACUUCUGCUUUAUUCUCCCACAGCUGAGCCUCCUGCCAUUGGUCACAGCGCUGGCCACACACCACCGGUGGUUCAGAGCGUCCUUUCCCCUCCCAGGUCUUUCUCCUACUUGUCUCCUUAUCUCCAUGUUUCUCUCCAGAUUUCCUUCAAGAUUGAUCUUGCGGGAGGCUGCCUCCUAGAGUCUGAAAAUCGCAGUCCUGGGUUAAGAUUGUCAUCUAGUGGCCAAUGUGAGAAGCACAUGGCUGUGCCCUCCCCUUUCUUCCUUCUAACUCUGUACUGUGCAAAAAUAGAAGGCGAACUUGCUUCUUCCUACCUACCUGAAACAUCUGAAUGGAUCCGACGAGAAUGUUCGCCCUUCAGAACUGCAGGAUGUCACAGUCACCCAUGUCACUACUCACCGUGAGUCACUACUCACGGGUCACCCAUCAGCCAGCGUCUGUACCCACAGCCUGGUGGAUCCUGGGGCGGUUUACAGCCCAGCCGCUGGCAACCUCAGCUGUCAGUCCUCUCUGGAAAUUUCCUCAGCUGAAGAGAACGAUUGAGAAGAAGGCCACGCCUCCUUUCUGGGCAGCCACAGCCCUGAUUGGUCAGGGGGGUGGGCCCCAGGAAGCAGAUGCCAGGAUGGGGUUCUGGAGCUGGACCUAGGGCUGCUGGCUGGCAGCGGGGACUCCCGGCCUGUGUCCCUGGCACAAGGUCUUGGUGCUGCUGUUACCGGAAGGAAUCUUAAGGCUCAGACUGACCCAGCCUUGACAUUCCUGACUCUGGUGAUCUUGCUGGCAUUUGUGUCUAGGACAAUGCAUUACUCUCAGACUAAAGAAGAAUCUAUUACACCAAUUCCAUCGCCUAAAAUAUCAAAGUCACCAUUCUGGGAAACUGGGAAUACGAACGAAAGAGCAGCUAAUCACAAAGGUUUAAGACAGGUUAGGUAAAUGUCAAGGGUCAAGUGUGAGAGAAAAAUAUAAAAGUUCAACAAAAAAUGUUAAGCAGAGACAGACUGAUAGUUGGAGGUAGGAUUUUAAUAUCUGAGGAAUCAUCUGGUAUUGGCCAUCUUUAAAGGUUUAAGAAUCUGAAAAAUUGAUUCUUAAAAAAUAUUUGAAAAUAGUUCAACCUAUUCAUACCCCCUAGGAUAUUGCGUGGAUUGGCUUCUGAUGUUCCUUCCCUCUUUUGACAUCUUCCCCAGAAAGUUCUGACCUGACCAUUCUUACUAUGCUAUCUACACCUCUUGUUGUUCCAACUUGAAAAUCACAUCUGACUCGAUAAUAUCAGAGAACUUCAUAAGGGAACACAGCUCCUACCUGCUUAGACUUCAGAAAUCCCCCAAAUAAAGAAGGUAGAACUUCAGCGUCUCCACUGUCUCUCGGCUUUAACACCUGAAGCUGCAGCCCACAACCACAUGGUGGUAAUUCAGAAGCUCAGAACUUUUGGUAACUGAGCAAGGACAUAAAUGCUAGGCCAACACGGAGCUGCACUAAAAGCUGUGCUUACCCACUGAGAGUAAAUUGCUGUAAUUCUCCAGCAUCACGUCCAUGUAAAGGAUCCGCUGUGAGGGGUCCAGUUGCUCCCAUUCCUCCUGAGUGAAGUCCACAGUCACAUCGGUGAAUGAAACCGAUCCCUGAAAUGGCAUAUUACUCAGAUGGCUAUUCAUUCUGAAAUGAUCGGCAUUUGGCAAUGUAGGAAGGAUAUGUGAAAACUUAUUCUUACCUUGUAAAAUUUACACAGGACGCCAACUGACAUCUUCACUGUUUUCUCAUGUUUCCAAAAAAUAUGUUUAUAAAUAAAACAUUUAUGUAGAUCCCCUA